This 645-nucleotide ribosomal RNA is filed under the name uncultured cyanobacterium. RNAcentral describes it as "bacterial SSU rRNA". It matches the Rfam family "Bacterial small subunit ribosomal RNA", at positions 123 to 800 of the family's 1533-position model. The record is from RNAcentral. Lineage: Bacteria; Bacillati; Cyanobacteriota.
AAUCUGCCUUCAGGUUCGGGACAACCACUGGAAACGGUGGCUAAUACCGAAUGUGCAGCAAUGUGAAAUAUUUAUAGCCUGGAGAUGAGCUCGCGUCUGAUUAGCUAGUAGGUGUGGUAAUAGCGCACCUAGGCGACGAUCAGUAGCUGGUCUGAGAGGAUGAUCAGCCACACUGGGACUGAGACACGGCCCAGACUCCUACGGGAGGCAGCAGUGGGGAAUUUUCCGCAAUGGGCGAAAGCCUGACGGAGCAAUACCGCGUGAGGGAGGAAGGCUCUUGGGUUGUAAACCUCUUUUCUCAGGGAAGAAAAAAAUGACGGUACCUGAGGAAUAAGCAUCGGCUAACUCCGUGCCAGCAGCCGCGGUAAUACGGAGGAUGCAAGCGUUAUCCGGAAUGAUUGGGCGUAAAGCGUCCGCAGGUGGCUAUGUAAGUCUGCUGUUAAAGAGUCUGGCUCAACCAGAUAAAGGCAGUGGAAACUACAUGGCUAGAGUGCGUUCGGGGCAGAGGGAAUUCCUGGUGUAGCGGUGAAAUGCGUAGAGAUCAGGAAGAACACCGGUGGCGAAAGCGCUCUGCUAGGCCGCAACUGACACUGAGGGACGAAAGCUAGGGGAGCGAAUGGGAUUAGAUACCCCAGUAGUCCUAGC